AUCCCAGGUUGUCAUCUGUGAUCCUGAUGGUCAGUUCCUUGCAUGACGUCAUCGAUGAUGUAACAGAGAGAGCAGUUCCGGGCAAGCAUGAUAUGACAGGGGAGCUGAAACCCGGACGUCAGGUCUCCCUUUUCCUGUAGUAAUCCAGAGAACGGACAAGAGCCUACGCAGCUUGACCUUGGAGCUGUCUCAAGAGUUACCAUCGACGAGGUGUAUUGGGGACUCCAGUUCGUGUCUAGAUACUACAAACAACUACUAG
Penaeus monodon (black tiger shrimp) is the source of this 259-nucleotide long non-coding RNA. RefSeq lists it as uncharacterized. NCBI's taxonomy places the organism in Eukaryota, Metazoa, Arthropoda, Malacostraca, Decapoda, Penaeidae. The transcript is spliced from 2 exons. The record is from RefSeq and is a predicted model, not a curated record.